RNAcentral lists this ribosomal RNA (253 nucleotides) under uncultured bacterium. Its description in RNAcentral is "partial 16S ribosomal RNA". It matches the Rfam family "Bacterial small subunit ribosomal RNA", at positions 524 to 776 of the family's 1533-position model. The record is from RNAcentral.
UACAGAGGGUGCGAGCGUUGUUCGGAAUUAUUGGGCGUAAAGGGCGCGUAGGCGGUGCGGUAAGUCACCUGUGAAAUCCCUCGGCUUAACCGGGGAACUGCGUCUGAUACUGGAUGGCUAGAGGUUGGGAGAGGGAUGCGGAAUUCCAGGUGUAGCGGUGAAAUGCGUAGAUAUCUGGAGGAACACCGGUGGCGAAGGCGGCAUCCUGGACCAAUUCUGACGCUGAGGAGCGAAAGCCAGGGGAGCAAACGGG